AGAGGUUGCUGCAGACAUCAUGCCUUAUCUUUACCAAAUGUUUUAUAAGUCAUUCUUUAGUUCUGACUUGAAUAGAGUUACAGAGAGAAGAAAUUGUCUGUCUUUGUAUUCUGUUACAAAAUAGCCACCUCUGUUCUGAUGAUGACUUACAGUAUACUCUUUUAAUUUGUCUUAACACAAAAUGUCUGCCAGUAUAAAUAUACUGACAGUACACAAAUCAUUUA
Pelobates cultripes (western spadefoot toad) is the source of this 224-nucleotide non-coding RNA. The record is from the annotation of a GenBank genome assembly. NCBI's taxonomy places the organism in Eukaryota, Metazoa, Chordata, Amphibia, Anura, Pelobatidae.